Molecule: long non-coding RNA, 1021 nt
Filed under: Heterocephalus glaber (naked mole-rat)
Lineage: Eukaryota; Metazoa; Chordata; Mammalia; Rodentia; Bathyergidae
Description: lncRNA (ENSHGLG00100049773.1)
Source: RNAcentral
AUGAGAUUAAUUCAAGUUAGCUUUGGCCUCUACAAUUACAAGAGGUGCUCAAAGUGGUUGUCAUUGGCUUCCAGACAUUUAUUAGUAUGGAGAAGUGCUGAAGUGUGUAUACAUUUCUUUGGGUGGAUUUUGCAUUUUUCAUUUGUACAUAAAUAAAAUUAUAUGGAUCUCGAGCCAAGACAUAUCUAUGUUGGUAUCCUGUGUGAUUUUAGGGAAACGUAUUUAAUAUCUCUGAAGCUCAACUACUCAAUCAAAAGGAAGGAUAAUAAUGAACAGUUAAAUUCCCAAAAGGAUUCUAUACUUCUGUGUGUAUCCUAGGAGGCUGAGUCUUGCUCCAUAAAUCAGGAUGCCCUGGAACUUACUAUGUAACUCAAGGUGGCCUUGACCCUUGAACUUGUGAUCCUCUUGCUUCAGCCACCCAAGUUCUGGGAUUACUUGUGUGCACCAUAAUACCUGGCUGCUUCUUCAGAUUUGGAAUUUCAUUUUUUCCAAGGAGAUAUGCUGUGUCGUUCCACUACAUGCUCCUCACCAUGACAGUUUCCUCACCAUGGGCCCAGAAACAAUGGAACUAAGGGACCAUGGACUGAAACCUCUGAAACUGUGAGCCAAAAUGAAUCUUUCUUCCUUUGAUUUUCUUAGGUAUUUUGCCGCAACAAAAAAACCCCUAAUACACUGUGUAUCAUUCUAUGAAUCCACUCUUCUUUUUUCUUGAAGGAUUAUCUUUACUUUAAAUCCCUAAAUUUGCUAUUCACCAUUCCUAUGCAUCUUUUAAUAAUUUGUUCUAUCUCUAUCUAUCGAUCCAUCCAUCUCCAAAGACAAUGCAUAACAUUAUGCUAAAUGUUCCAUAACUUUAUAUAGAUGAUACAAUGUGGUCUGUAUUCUUUUGCAACUUAUUCUUACUGUUCAAUAAUAUAUUAGUGAGAUUUAUCAAUGUGGCUAAAGCUAACUGUAGCUAAUUCAUUUUCACAGCUUUUUUUUAUUACAUUGUAUAGAUAUAUCAGUCACACUUUGUUUUAUCCGG